This is a small nuclear RNA of Oryctolagus cuniculus (rabbit), 105 nucleotides long. NCBI's taxonomy places the organism in Eukaryota, Metazoa, Chordata, Mammalia, Lagomorpha, Leporidae. The record is from Ensembl.
GUUUGCUUCACUAGUACAUGCGAUAAAACUGAAAAAAUUUAGAGAAGAUUAGCAUAGCCCUUAUUUAAGAAUGACAUGCUAAUUUCUGAAAUGUUCCAUAUUGAU